This 497-nucleotide ribosomal RNA is filed under the name uncultured bacterium. RNAcentral's name for it is "partial 16S ribosomal RNA". It matches the Rfam family "Bacterial small subunit ribosomal RNA", at positions 28 to 507 of the family's 1533-position model. The record is from RNAcentral.
GACGAACGCUGGCGGCGUGCCUAAUACAUGCAAGUCGAGCGGACGGAUCGAAAGCUUGCUUCUGAUUCGUUAGCGGCGGACGGGUGAGUAACACGUGGGCAACCUGCCCUUUAGACUGGGAUAACUCCGGGAAACCGGUGCUAAUACCGGAUAAUACUAAGUAUCGCAUGACUUUACGUUGAAAGACGGUCUUACUUUUCCCUAUAGAUGGAGCCGCGCGGCAUUAGCUAGUUGGUAAGGUAACGGCUUACCAAGGCAACGAUGCCUAGCCGACCUGAGAGGGUGAUCGGCCACACUGGAACUGAGACACGGCCCAGACUCCUACGGGAGGCAGCAGUAAGGAAUCUUCCGCAAUGGACGAAAGUCUGACGGAGCAACGCCGCGUGAGUGAAGAAGGCCUUCGGGUCGUAAAGCUCUGUUGUUAGGGAAGAACAAGUAACUCAGUAACUGUCGACACCGUGACGGUACCUAACGAGAAAGCCACGGCUAACUACGUG